CUGCAAGCAUCUGUUAAUAAAGG
This 23-nucleotide non-coding RNA is filed under the name Cricetulus griseus (Chinese hamster). Lineage: Eukaryota; Metazoa; Chordata; Mammalia; Rodentia; Cricetidae. The record is from RNAcentral.